AAAUAUUACAGAGGUACCUUAUGAAGUUAUCUACGCGUAGGAAAAAGAACGGACACGUUUCGAGUUAUAUAUUGUGCGUAAUGACUAUUUCCGUAAAGGACUCCAUAAAUAUUAUCCUACGAAUAUCUCACUGUGUAUACACUGGAAAAUUCCAAAAUUUUUACAGUAGCUUCAUAUAUGUUAAGAGAGCAUACCCUGAAAAUUUCAGAUUUUUCUGAGCAAAACUCAAUUUUUUAAAAAUAGAGCAAGAUCUGAGUGUUUUGAGCACUUUAAAAAUAGUAAAUCAUUUUCUAAAAUUCUAGAAAAAUUAGAGGAUCAUUGUUGGUUCAUAUUCUGUUAAAAUCCAGAAGCUGAGAAUUUUUGGAAUCAGUUUGCUGUUUUUCCUAAAAAU
Molecule: long non-coding RNA, 391 nt
Filed under: Panax ginseng (ginseng)
Lineage: Eukaryota; Viridiplantae; Streptophyta; Magnoliopsida; Apiales; Araliaceae
Description: long non-coding RNA (PGIN_LNC000669)
Source: RNAcentral